RNAcentral lists this ribosomal RNA (703 nucleotides) under Rossmanomyces pyrolae. RNAcentral describes it as "eukaryotic LSU rRNA". The stretch from base 222 to 376 matches the Rfam family "5.8S ribosomal RNA". Lineage: Eukaryota; Fungi; Basidiomycota; Pucciniomycetes; Pucciniales; Coleosporiaceae. The record is from RNAcentral.
AAUAAUGAGUGCACUUUAUUGUGGCUCUAAAAUUUUCAAUAAAUUUCACCCAUUUUAAACCCAAAGCUGUUAUGUGUACCUCUUUUGGUAUAACAUCUCAGUAGUACGCAUCAUGUGGGAUCUUUUUCUCACAAGUUGCAUUACCCCCCCUUUAUAAGUGACCCACUUUAUCAAUUACUCUAAAAUGUUUUAGGAAUGUAAAUGCCCCUUUAAUUAUAUAUAACUUUUAACAAUGGAUCUCUUGGCUCUCACAUCGAUGAAGAACACAGUGAAAUGUGAUAAGUAAUGUGAAUUGCAGAAUUCAGUGAAUCAUCGAAUCUUUGAACGCACCUUGCACCUUUUGGUUAUUCCGAAAGGUACACCUGUUUGAGUGUCAUGAAACCCUCUCAUUCCAAUUCUUUAUUUAUUUAAAGGGUUGUGAUAUGGAUGUUGAGUGCUGCCGUUAUUGGCUCGCUUUAAAUAUAUAAGUACUUUUAUCAAACAAUAAAUGGAUUUACUUGGUGUAAUAUUUAUUAUUCAUUGAGGAGUGUGGUUUAAUUACUGCAGCCAUUUGCCUUUUGAUAGAUAGCUUCCGAACCCCAAUUAUAUGUAUUUAGACCUCAAAUCAGGUGGGACUACCCGCUGAACUUAAGCAUAUCAAUAAGCGGAGGAAAAGAAACUAACAAGGAUUCCCCUAGUAACGGCGAGUGAAGAGGGAAAAGCC